This 274-nucleotide ribosomal RNA is filed under the name uncultured bacterium. RNAcentral describes it as "partial 16S ribosomal RNA". It matches the Rfam family "Bacterial small subunit ribosomal RNA", at positions 523 to 796 of the family's 1533-position model. The record is from RNAcentral.
AUACGGAGGGUCCAAGCGUUAUCCGGAUUCAUUGGGUUUAAAGGGUCCGCAGGCGGUCAAUUAAGUCAGAGGUGAAAGCCCAUCGCUCAACGAUGGAACUGCCUUUGAUACUGGUUGACUUGAGUUAUACGGAAGUAGAUAGAAUAAGUAGUGUAGCGGUGAAAUGCAUAGAUAUUACUUAGAAUACCGAUUGCGAAGGCAGUCUACUACGUAUAUACUGACGCUGAGGGACGAAAGCGUGGGGAGCGAACAGGAUUAGAAACCCCAGUAGUCC